GUCCAGAGCCAACCUCUCCAGCUGCUUUUUCUGUCCUCUGCUGUGAGUUCUGCAGCACCCAUUCUCCACAGAAACUACAGAAAUCCUCCUCUCUUCCGAGUGAAACUGGAAAUCUCAGAAGCACACCACACGGCGCGAGAGAGGGCUUUUCCCCGGCGGCUCUCCGUGAUUGGUACCUUGCUGGCUCAGCCCGCGGCCCCAGAGCCCAGCCGCAGCCCCGCCGGGCAGCGGGCGAGUACUAGCCACUCUGGGCUGAUGCUCCCCGGUACACCGCAGCUGCGGGGACACGGACCCAUCCUACCCAUCCUUCCCACCCUUCCCAUCCCCCACAGCCCAAGGGGGGCGGCAGAGCCUCCGCCUUGCCAAAAAUACUCUUCCAAAAUGUCAUUUAGGAGGAUCUAUAAUAACCAUUUAAUUUUCUGAA
Molecule: long non-coding RNA, 424 nt
Organism: Pezoporus flaviventris
Lineage: Eukaryota; Metazoa; Chordata; Aves; Psittaciformes; Psittacidae
Exons: 2
Source: RefSeq, a predicted model, not a curated record